This is a long non-coding RNA of Alosa alosa (allis shad), 985 nucleotides long. RefSeq lists it as uncharacterized. Lineage: Eukaryota; Metazoa; Chordata; Actinopteri; Clupeiformes; Clupeidae. The transcript has 5 exons. The record is from RefSeq and is a predicted model, not a curated record.
CAUCGACCCUGUCAUCCCGAAAACACGUUCAUGCAUACACGGGUUUCCCGUUUACCAACAAAACUAGAUGCGCGCGCAGAAGACGCUUGGUGGCCGUCGCCGUCCACAAGUUAUAAACCUAAAUAGUCGGCUGUUGUAAGCUACAAUCGGAUUUUUUUGUAUACCCCCCAGAUAGCAAGCAUAGUCGGCCCGAUUCUGUCUGAGUGCUGGCAGUGUCGGCUGAGGUCCGAGUCGGCUGAAGCACAGUAAACACAGUCGGCCCGAUCCUGGCUGAGUGCUGCCACUGUCGGCGGAGUUUCAGGUCGGCUGAGGCACUGUCCCCUUGAAUGGGCCGACACUGACACGCAGUAGUUGGGCUGAUUACUGAGUGUCUUAUUUGGCCCGAUUGGGGUUUGAUGGGCUACUGCCAGUUUUCGAAUCAAUCUCGGCAGACGGAUUUCAUACAGUGUGUGGCCCGAUACUUCAGGAACGAACACUGAUCAGUAUCGAGGCUGUUGGCGGCAAAAAUGAAACAUUUAGCGACAGCCGGACGCUAAACGUACAUGGCCCAAUUCUGUGAAGUGACUGUCGGCCCAUUACAUGUGGAAGAGCCACGAGCAGAGCAACUGUUCAGUUUGAAACCAGCAGGACGGCGCGAAACUGUCUCGUUUUGGACACUGCCUGUGAAUCCAGGCCACACUGACCAGAGACCUGCCUGCACUCCUUUGGAUGAAGAAGCUACCUGUGUAUAAAUGUGUGAACCAUUUCUUGUGUUGGAAAAACAGGAGACCUGAAGAGCUCUUGAUGCUUUUGGUUUGCCUCAUCCAUUAUGUCAGCAAAGAACAGGAGUGGGCAGGAAACAUGCGCUGUUGAAAACAUGGCCAACCAACUGGAGCACCCACAAGGCUCUUGUGAAGGAAGUCCACAAGUGCUUCAGGAUGGAUGGAAAGAACUCUUUGAUCAACCCCCACAGAGAGCUGAGGUGGCUAUCUUUUGGAGACACCCC